AUAAUAUAUACACUUUGCCACUGCUUUAAUUGUAUGGGAGCAUUGGUGAUCUGUGCGUCUCUUAGUACAAACUUGUUAGUGAAGGGUAAAUCCAUAAUGAGUAUGGGGAUAUGAAGUCAGAUCCACACGUCCCCUCAUCAACAGGUGCCUCACUACAAGCAACUAUUUGAGAGAGCAAACAAGGCAUAGUUUACUGCUGCUCUUCCAUCACCAGCUGACCAAAU
Pelobates cultripes (western spadefoot toad) is the source of this 224-nucleotide non-coding RNA. The record is from the annotation of a GenBank genome assembly. NCBI's taxonomy places the organism in Eukaryota, Metazoa, Chordata, Amphibia, Anura, Pelobatidae.